UUGCUCUCUUUGCAGUGUGCCAGUUUGUUUUCUUCGCUGUUGGGUGGUGGUAUUUUUUUGGAGAAGGGCGAGCGAAGAGAAAGAAUGAAAAGAAAGUUUUUUCUUUCUUUUAAACAAAUGGUAGCUCUGCUGGUUUGAUGCUGGCUCUGCCGCUGCUGCUGCUGCUGCUCCUGCUGCUCCUGCUGCUCCAGCCUCUGUUUCUUGUUGUAAGGAAGAAGAAAGAAAGCAAGAAGUGGAACCACGGCUUCAAGGUUGCCUUGAUUCAUCGAUGAUCACUCGCUCCAGUUUUUAGAGGGAGGAGAGUUCUUGUUCCUCCCCCCUCGCAAGUCAAGUCACUCUAUAUUCCACUGCUCGAGUGAAAGAACAUCUGAUCGGAGCUCAUAUUUUUUACCUUUUUAUUAUUACUCGAUUCUUCUUCUUCUUCUUAUUCUCCCAGCAGCAACCACACACACAAAUACUCUUGCUUUGAAUGUCCAUCUACAUUUAUUCGGGACGUCCUGUGCGAGGCAGUAUAGUUUCCUCUCGUGCUUGCGCGCUCGCAUUCCAUCCUUUCCAGGGCUUGGUUUUGUUUAUCAUCUCCAAGACACACUGGUGCCAAGACUAAAGACCAUGCUACGUUGAUUACGAGGAGUACACAAGCGAGCGCCGAGAAGGGGGCAGCACCAGUCCGGCUGCAGUGGUUUCUUCCCAUUCUUUUCUUUUUUUCUUUCCUUGGCCAGCAGCAUUGGCAGGAA
Selaginella moellendorffii is the source of this 734-nucleotide long non-coding RNA. RefSeq lists it as uncharacterized. The record is from RefSeq and is a predicted model, not a curated record. The transcript has 2 exons. NCBI's taxonomy places the organism in Eukaryota, Viridiplantae, Streptophyta, Lycopodiopsida, Selaginellales, Selaginellaceae.